This 127-nucleotide small nuclear RNA is filed under the name Lynx canadensis (Canada lynx). Its description in RNAcentral is "U4 spliceosomal RNA (ENSLCNG00005021749.1)". It matches the Rfam family "U4 spliceosomal RNA". Rfam says of the family: U4 small nuclear RNA (U4 snRNA) is a component of the major U2-dependent spliceosome. The structure of U4 snRNA from yeast and human has been reported. Lineage: Eukaryota; Metazoa; Chordata; Mammalia; Carnivora; Felidae. The record is from RNAcentral.
AGCUUUGCGCAGUGGCAGUAUCGUAGCCAAUGAGGUUUAUCUGAGGCGCGAUUAUUGCUAAUUGAAAACAUACACAGUAACUAAUGUAUGUAACUAAAUUUUCAUUCAUUAAAAAAACUCUUACAUU